AAGGAUUCGUGCCUGAACGCCAAAGGGCUACUUUGAUGAGGUAGAAAGUGGAGGUUUAAAUCCUCCCGAAUCCU
RNAcentral lists this transfer RNA (74 nucleotides) under Crocodylus niloticus (Nile crocodile). RNAcentral describes it as "transfer RNA-Ile". It matches the Rfam family "tRNA". From Rfam's summary of the family: Transfer RNA (tRNA) molecules are approximately 80 nucleotides in length. Their secondary structure includes four short double-helical elements and three loops (D, anti-codon, and T loops). The record is from RNAcentral. Lineage: Eukaryota; Metazoa; Chordata; Crocodylia; Crocodylidae.